AUUGAACGCUGGCGGCAUGCCUUACACAUGCAAGUCGAACGGUAACAGGUUAAGCUGACGAGUGGCGAACGGGUGAGUAAUGUAUUGGAACGUGCCCAGUCGUGGGGGAUAACUGCUCGAAAGAGCAGCUAAUACCGCAUACGACCUGAGGGUGAAAGCGGGGGAUCGCAAGACCUCGCGCGAUUGGAGCGGCCGAUAUCAGAUUAGGUAGUUGGUGAGGUAAAGGCUCACCAAGCCGACGAUCUGUAGCUGGUCUGAGAGGACGACCAGCCACACUGGGACUGAGACACGGCCCAGACUCCUACGGGAGGCAGCAGUGGGGAAUUUUGGACAAUGGGCGCAAGCCUGAUCCAGCCAUGCCGCGUGCGGGAAGAAGGCCUUCGGGUUGUAAACCGCUUUUGUCAGGGAAGAAAAGGUUCUGGCUAAUACCUGGGACUCAUGACGGUACCUGAAGAAUAAGCACCGGCUAACUACGUG
This 477-nucleotide ribosomal RNA is filed under the name uncultured bacterium. RNAcentral's name for it is "partial 16S ribosomal RNA". It matches the Rfam family "Bacterial small subunit ribosomal RNA", at positions 30 to 507 of the family's 1533-position model. The record is from RNAcentral.